Molecule: unclassified non-coding RNA, 387 nt
Filed under: soil metagenome
Description: partial contains 5.8S ribosomal RNA, internal transcribed spacer 2, and large subunit ribosomal RNA
Rfam family: 5.8S ribosomal RNA (bases 1-120)
Source: RNAcentral
GAUGAAGAACGUAGCGAAAUGCGAUAAGUAGUGUGAAUUGCAGAAUUCAGUGAAUCAUCGAAUCUUUGAACGCACCUUGCGCUCCUUGGUAUUCCGAGGAGCAUGCCUGUUUGAGUGUCAUGAAAUUCUCAACCUUUUCAGCUUUCUUUGUUGAUCAGGCUUGGAUGUGGGAGUAUGCGGGCUUCUCAGAAGUCGGCUCUCCUGAAAUGCAUUAGCGGGACCUUUGUUGCCUGGCUUUGGUGUGAUAAUUAUCUACGCCAUUGUAGUCAAGCAGCUUAAAAUGAGGUUUCAGCUUCUAACCGUCUCCCCUGAGACAACUUUUUGACAAUUUGACCUCAAAUCAGGUAGGACUACCCGCUGAACUUAAGCAUAUCAAUAAGCGGAGGA